RNAcentral lists this ribosomal RNA (440 nucleotides) under uncultured bacterium. Its description in RNAcentral is "partial 16S ribosomal RNA". It matches the Rfam family "Bacterial small subunit ribosomal RNA", at positions 338 to 795 of the family's 1533-position model. The record is from RNAcentral.
CCUACGGGAGGCAGCAGUAGGGAAUAUUGCUCAAUGGGGGAAACCCUGAAGCAGCAACGCCGCGUGGAUGAUGAAGGUUUUAGGAUUGUAAACUCCUUUUGUUAGAGAAGAUUAUGACGGUAUCUAACGAAUAAGCACCGGCUAACUCCGUGCCAGCAGCCGCGGUAAUACGGAGGGUGCAAGCGUUACUCGGAAUCACUGGGCGUAAAGAGUGCGUAGGCGGGGUAAUAAGUCAGAUGUGAAAUCCUGUGGCUUAACUACAGAACUGCAUAUGAAACUGUUACUCUGGAGUGUGGUAGAGGUAGGUGGAAUUCUUGGUGUAGGGGUAAAAUCCGUAGAGAUCAAGAGGAAUACUCAUUGCGAAGGCGACCUGCUGGAACAUUACUGACGCUGAUGCACGAAAGCGUGGGGAGCAAACAGGAUUAGAUACCCGUGUAGUC